RNAcentral lists this ribosomal RNA (1482 nucleotides) under metagenome. RNAcentral's name for it is "bacterial SSU rRNA". It matches the Rfam family "Bacterial small subunit ribosomal RNA". The record is from RNAcentral.
AGAGUUUGAUCCUGGCUCAGGACGAACGCUGGCGGCGUGCUUUACACAUGCAAGUCGAACGGAGAAGCACCUUCGGGUGUGGAUCAGUGGCGAACGGGUGAGUAACACGUGGGUAACCUGCCCCUCACUUCGGGAUAACUCCGGGAAACCGGGGCUAAUACUGGAUAUCACCAGACCGGGCAUCCGGACUGGUUGAAAGGGUUUACUGGUGAGGGAUGGACCCGCGGCCUAUCAGCUUGUUGGUGGGGUAAUGGCCUACCAAGGCGACGACGGGUAGCCGGCCUGAGAGGGCGACCGGCCACACUGGGACUGAGACACGGCCCAGACUCCUACGGAGGCAGCAGUGGGGAAUAUUGCGCAAUGGACGAAAGUCUGACGCAGCAACGCCGCGUGAGGGAACGAAGGCCUUUGGGUUGUAAACCUCUUUCAGCAGGGACGAAGCGAAAGUGACGGUACCUGCAGAAGAAGCACCGGCUAACUACGUGCCAGCAGCCGCGGUAAUACGUAGGGUGCAAGCGUUGUCCGGAUUUAUUGGGCGUAAAGGGCUCGUAGGCGGUCUGUCGCGUCGGAAGUGAAAACCUGGAGCUCAACUCCAGGCCUGCUUUCGAUACGGGCAGACUAGAGUUCGGUAGGGGAGACUGGAAUUCCUGGUGUAGCGGUGGAAUGCGCAGAUAUCAGGAGGAACACCAAUGGCGAAGGCAGGUCUCUGGGCCGACACUGACGCUGAGGAGCGAAAGCGUGGGUAGCAAACAGGAUUAGAUACCCUGGUAGUCCACGCCGUAAACGGUGGGCGCUAGGUGUGGGGAACAAUCUACGUUUUCCGCGCCGCAGCUAACGCAUUAAGCGCCCCGCCUGGGGAGUACGGCCGCAAGGCUAAAACUCAAAGGAAUUGACGGGGGCCCGCACAAGCGGCGGAGCAUGCGGCUUAAUUCGAUGCAACGCGAAGAACCUUACCUAGGCUUGACAUAUGACCAGAGCAUGCAGAGAUGUAUGUGCAUUUAGUUGGGGUCAUACAGGUGGUGCAUGGCUGUCGUCAGCUCGUGUCGUGAGAUGUUGGGUUAAGUCCCGCAACGAGCGCAACCCUCGUCCUAUGUUGCCAGCGGGUAAUGCCGGGGACUCAUAGGAGACCGCCGGGGUCAACUCGGAGGAAGGUGGGGACGACGUCAAGUCAUCAUGCCCCUUAUGUCUAGGGCUGCACGCAUGCUACAAUGGCCGGUACAAAGGGCUGCGAAAUCGUAAGAUUAAGCGAAUCCCAUAAAGCCGGUCUCAGUUCGGAUUGGGGUCUGCAACUCGACCCCAUGAAGUCGGAGUCGCUAGUAAUCGCAGAUCAGCAACGCUGCGGUGAGUACGUUCCCGGGCCUUGUACACACCGCCCGUCACGUCACGAAAGUCGGUAACACCCGAAGCCGGUGGCCUAACCCUUUACUGGGAGGGAGCUGUCGAAGGUGGGACUGGCGAUUGGGACGAAGUCGUAACAAGGUA